AAAACUAUGAUACUUUGGCGUUUAAGUAUAUUAGACGAUAUCCUCUGAGUCUUAAUGUGCAUAUUAGCAUUAGGAAGUAUAAAAACACUUUGAAAUGGGUUAGAAAAGGUUUCAUGCAUUAAAAAUAAAUUUUUAUGGGAAAAACAGUAUACAGGUCAACACAUACGUGUAAGACCAUAAUUUUGACCCUAAGAUCCCUCAUGGCAUCAUGUUAUUGCACAAGUGUAUUGCCUCAAGGAUCAUAGCAUGUUUGGCUCCAUAACCCUAGGGUUGG
RNAcentral lists this long non-coding RNA (274 nucleotides) under Lathyrus oleraceus (garden pea). Its description in RNAcentral is "Pisum sativum (pea) long non-coding RNA (PSAT_LNC015120)". Lineage: Eukaryota; Viridiplantae; Streptophyta; Magnoliopsida; Fabales; Fabaceae. The record is from RNAcentral.